CUUCUCACAGCUGGCUGAGAAUUUAGCAAAGGAAAGUGACAAGAAUCGGGUAUUCGAAACUUGUUUCAGGUUCCUGUUUGCAGCAUCGGUUUUUAUCUGUGUGGGAGACUUCUCCAGCAGACUCUUCCUGCUUUCAAGCUCUUGUUUCCUCUGGUACUUUCCAGUUGGUCUGUUUCAGAGUUCCUCCACAACAGAGCCGCAGCCUUCCCAAGGCUCAGCCAUGCCCCUGGCUCUCCUCCCAGUGCUGGGGAUAAACUUUCUCCUGAGAGUUGCUCAAGCUCAGUCAGUGACUCAACCUGAUGCUCAUGUCACUGUCUCUGAAGAAGCCUCUCUGCAGCUGAGAUGCAACUAUUCCUCCCCUUGGUCACCUUACCUGUUCUGGUAUGUCCAGUACCCACAGCAGGGGCUGCAUCUGCUCCUCAAGUACUAUUCAGGAGACCCCGUGGUUCAAGGUGUGAACGGCUUUGAGACUGAGUUCAGCAAGAGUGACUCUUCCUUCCACCUGCGGAAAGCCUCUGUGCACUGGAGCGACUCGGCUGUGUACUUCUGUGCUCUGAGCGCACAGUGUCUGGGGCUGUAGGGGGAGCUGAACACAAACACCAAUGGCUGUGGGUGCUCAGACACAAGAUCUCUCCUGUGGUCUCUGAAGCAUCUCUUUCAACUUGGCGAGGAGAAAAGGGGUGUCAAGCAGUCCCAGCUGCCUUUGCACAGCUCAUUUCCAGUUAAAAUAUCCACUGUCUGACUUCGUCUAAGAAGCUCUUUGCAUAUUUUCAAAAUUAUAUAAUGCUCAAUCAUAAUUCUUUAGAAUGGAGGCUACCGUCAUUUUUCCAUGAGAACCAUUUCCUGAGUGGCCAUUGCUUGGAC
Molecule: non-coding RNA, 864 nt
Organism: Rattus rattus (black rat)
Lineage: Eukaryota; Metazoa; Chordata; Mammalia; Rodentia; Muridae
Source: the annotation of a RefSeq genome assembly